CCCAAAUAUGAUUUCCUUAUACAGAUACGGUUUGCGUCAAAACAACAUCGUCGUUAUGUCGAUCCGAGUUCAGACCACCGCUUCUUACCGGAGAGAUGUGUAACGGUCUAUGCUUUCAAUCUGCGUCAUUUACGUCCUUAUUCACUCCAUUAAAUCACCAUCUUCACUAACUCGGAUUCAAUAACACUUUAGCCUUCCUCAAAGGUUACGAAUCGUAAAUCUAUAAAUAAGGAUGUAAGUUUCUGUAAAAUUCAUCACUUUCAUCUGUUCUUAUUCCCUCCUCUCUCUACAUCUCUGUUCGAAAUCCCUCUCUCUCUCAAAAUUUUCCCAUCAUCAAAAUUGUAAAGACAGGAGGAGAGAUAAAUAAUCUUCUUCAAGCCACACAGAGACCCAAUUAUUAGUUUCUUCAAUCAAUAGAAUUCCCUCUGCCGGAGAAAUCGAAACGACUCCACAACUUCACCUUACCUUAUCUCCAGUGGGGUCAAAAGUGAUUGAUGCCGUCGCAGAAGCUCCCCACGGAAUCUAAACCCACGCCGAUCACUAGCGUCAAGAGAGAUAGUAACGAAGGAGGUGGUGAUGGAGAUUCGCAGAAACUGAACUUCUCUGGUUCUUUAUUGAGGGAAGAAAUCUAAGAAGAUUUCACAGCCUUCGUUGCUGAAAAAACUUUCUCGAGGACCAAAGAAGACCAAGAACUGUUCAGAAGCAAAUGAAUAGGAAGUAACAAUAGGCUCUUAUGACGUCCCUGAGGCUGCGGAAACAUGAUCAACGGUGUGAUUCCUUGGUUUCUUCAAUUUUUACCAACUUUGUGCUCUACUUCUGAAUCUUUUCAGCUGUAAAAGGAAGAACAAAUAUAGCAAUGAGCCCAUUUUAUUACCGAAGUUUAAUUGUCAUCUUAGCUGUUUUUUUUUUUGUUGUUAUGCAACUCUCUGCAGCUUUCUUAUAUCUUUGUUCCUUGAUUAAUAUUCUGUUUGGCUACUAUGUGCUAGGAUUAUGCUAAAUUUUAUUCAGGUAACAAAGAAACGACGUCUACGAGUUUAACUCUGGUUCAUGAAGGGAUCCUGAUGGUGACACGAUGACGGCGCUCAAAGCUGGUCCGUGGAUUACUUUACCAAGGCGUGCAACUUACAUGUUUGCUACAGAUGAAACAUGAGAAAAGCAACUUGGGGAUCCUUCUCACGUUUAAUUUUCAACAAAGAAAUAUCAACCUUUACUGUUAAGAGAAGCUUUUGGUGUUAUAACAUCAGUGUCGCACUUCCAAAACUGAGAUCAAUGCAGUGUGGUGGAGCAAUGUCUUAGCAUUGGAUUUGAGCUAUGAUCUAUAUAUUUUGCAUCUGCUUGGACCGGGAAAAGGGAGAAGAAAAGUUGUAGUCUGUUGUGAGAGAUGGAAAGGAGUUAGAUCUCUCUGAUCUAAAUUAUGUCUUUCAUGCAGCAAGAUGUUCAAGUAUGACUGGAGCUAUGUACCAAAUCUAAAGUUCUCCUUUGUCUCUGUUCUUGAGUUUCCUUUUUAUCACCCAAGUUGUCCAGCUGCCAAUACUUAUAAUUCACAUUCAACAUGAUGAGUUUAUCUAAUGUUGUUUGGCUAUUUUGAAUC
Long non-coding RNA from Raphanus sativus (radish), 1591 nucleotides. RefSeq lists it as uncharacterized. The record is from RefSeq and is a predicted model, not a curated record. The transcript is spliced from 2 exons. Lineage: Eukaryota; Viridiplantae; Streptophyta; Magnoliopsida; Brassicales; Brassicaceae.